CUUCACGUCACCCCGCUGUCAAUCAUCAAUAGGACGGUCCGCACUGCUUCACCUAGCGAUAAUUAAGUGUUUUGGGGGACCGUGUGGGGCAUUUAUAACGGGUGGACCCCCGAAAACACUCGAAAUGGAACUACUGGUUAUUCUUUGGUGAGACAAAGCUCCGACGUGUCCGCGGGGGUUCGAGGCAAAGUUCCCCUGUGCUCUGAAAGGACUUGUGCCGCUGCAACAACAGGUGACGAGGACGGCAGAGCAAUUAAAAUUGUCGGCCACCACAGAGCAACAGAUGGAGGUUCGCACCAGGAUAUUGCCACUAAGAGGAUUCCUCUUUCUUUGCUCGCCAUUCUAGACUUUUCUUUUUUUUUUGUGUGUGUGCAAAGAGUCUUUCAUCGUGACCCAGCUCGACUGGCUUACUGGAACUGGUGUAGCGUCGUUGCUUAAGCCCUCUGAAACGCGCCACAACGCGCUUUGACCUCCUUGGCAAACAGAAAUCCCUGAUCGAGUCUGCUGUGAAUAAGCAACCAGACCCCCUGAAUGCGUCCUCUGUCCUUGGACAUAAAAUAUUCCACCGAGGGCAGAAAAGGUCGACGACGGCCACUCGAUUCCUUCCAUAAACUUUAUUGUGCCAACGCAUUGCAGAGACCUGCCUCCGUCCUCUGGGGACACGAAGCCCGCUGACUCCUGAAAGAGGAGCUGUUCUCCGCCUCCACGCGCAGGUGAAGCCCUUUCGUGUGACGGAGGUCGCCCGGUCGCAGUACACAUAGUGGUUGUGAGUUUGGUUCCCUUAAUCAUAAUAGAUUUUAUUGACCGGCUCAAGUUGCCGCCCUUUGCGUUCCUAACUUUCGAUGCGGUUGUUAACUGCAUUGUGGUGGUCUAUAAAGCGGUAUAGUUCGAGGCAAUGCAUUUUAUUGUUUUUCUUUACGGAAAUUGGUUAUAGGAGCCUGAAGUUAUUUGUUUUUAACCCCAAUCUUUUAUUACAAAUAAUGAAAAUUGUCGGAGUAGUGUUCCAAUUGAGAUUAUCACAAAAGUUGGUCUCGGUGAUGCUUCAGCAUUAAUAUUUAACCUGUACUAUCAGUAUUUUUGUGGGCCAGGUUGUGUAUAUUAUUUUAAGCACUGGCCUUUACAGGUAUUUCACACACGCACAGUUCAAUAAAGACCUAAUAAAAAUCCCGCGGCUGUUUAAUGAUCUAGAUUUAAAUGCUUUCGCUGUUGGAAAACGUAAAGAAUGGUUCAUUUAACUCUGAGCAUUAUUACCUCUUUAUUUUAUUUCCUUUGUAUUUGACCUGAACCCUGAAAGGAAGGAGAGGGAGAGGAACUGGGAAUCAUCAGGGGGAUCCAAUUAUAUUUUCUUUUGUGUUCACUGCAAAAAGAUUACUCUGCGACAAGAUCUCUCUCAACUUAGUUUUUUCAGAUUUUAUCUGCAGACCUGUUAUUUUUCUUCCUUAUCUGAGGUGUAAUAUGCAGGGACCUCUUACAAUUUGAACCUAAUGAACAAUAUUACAGCGCAAGAAGUACACCUGCAGUAAAUCAUCAACUUAAACUACACCUCCCUGUACUUCUCAAGUUAAAAGCAAUCGGUUUGUAUUCUGCAGCUUAAAAACUAGAGGCUAAAAUGUUCCCGGCGGAUCGUGUUGAGUUCAGCCGUGAAGUUUCAGCGUGAACGGACAUGGCGACUUUCCAAUCCCAAUAGCUCGUGGCUAAAUUAUUUCUUCGACCAGAAUUAGUCUGGAGGCUUAACAAGGAUCCUUAGAUGACGUUCAUCCGAGCCGACUCGCCAAAAUAAAAAAAGAAUGUAAUUUUGUGAAUCUGAUUAUAAAGUAUUUCAAAUUGAUUACACAACAGGCCAAUAUGCAGUCGGCACGGAUGCGUCGGCAUAAAUGCAAGUAUCCAAAUGGCCCAGCGUGU
Long non-coding RNA from Gasterosteus aculeatus aculeatus (three-spined stickleback), 1902 nucleotides. Lineage: Eukaryota; Metazoa; Chordata; Actinopteri; Perciformes; Gasterosteidae. The record is from Ensembl.